AUGAUUCUUCCGCAGUGACACUUAUUGAAGCCGAUGUGACCCUCCCGGGGUUCUGUCGCGACGUUAAAUAAUGAUGGUUAGCACAAGUGGCUCUCUUUGCCGCGAUAUAAUUGAAAUGCGGGGAUCUCCUAAAGCUGUAGGUACCAACUCAGGAUGGAAACGUCCUGGGGGCUCAUGUUAACGGCAUGAGGCGUGGUCACAAUCUUACAGAUGUAACAAUGGAUAAUCCGCAGCCUGUCCCUAAAAGCCUCUCUUGGCUCAUGGGAGCGGUUCACAGACUAGGUAAUUAUAGGCAGCGUUUCGACGCUGCUUAAGAUAUAGUCGGGCUUUCCUGGAAACAUGAAAGAGUAAGUCACUGUAGAUUUACAAGACGCAUGCGAGAGCAUGCGUCAGAUAACCGUUCCGUAGGUGAACCUGCGGAAGGAUCAUUACAGAGUUCAUGCCCUAACGGGUAGACCUCCCACCCUUUUUUUAUACUUUGCGAAUCCGGCGAGUUGUCCCGGGCUUAACUGCCCGGGACCCCAGGCUCUCGGGCCUGGGAGUCGCUCGCCGGGGGAGCAUUAAAUUCUGAUAAUUUUGUCGUCUGAGUACUAUAUAAUAGUUAAAACUUUCAACAACGGAUCUCUUGGUUCUGGCAUCGAUGAAGAACGCAGCGAAAUGCGAUAAGUAAUGUGAAUUGCAGAAUUCAGUGAAUCAUCGAAUCUUUGAACGCACAUUGCGCCCCUUGGUAUUCCGGGGGGCAUGCCUGUUCGAGCGUCAUUUCAACCCUCAAGCCUAGCUUGGUAUUGGGCUUCGCCGGUCACACGGCGGGCUUUAAAAUCAGUGGCGGCGCCGCUGGGCCCUGAACGUAGUAAUAUAUUUCGUUAUAGGUGUCUGGUGUGCUUCUGCCAUUAAACCC
RNAcentral lists this ribosomal RNA (898 nucleotides) under Poculum pseudosydowianum. Its description in RNAcentral is "eukaryotic LSU rRNA". The stretch from base 606 to 759 matches the Rfam family "5.8S ribosomal RNA". The record is from RNAcentral. Lineage: Eukaryota; Fungi; Ascomycota; Leotiomycetes; Helotiales; Rutstroemiaceae.